GAUGAACGCUGGCGGCGUGCCUAAUACAUGCAAGUCGAGCGAACGGACGAGAAGCUUGCUUCUCUGAUGUUAGCGGCGGACGGGUGAGUAACACGUGGAUAACCCACCUAUAAGACUGGGAUAACUUCGGGAAACCGGAGCUAAUACCGGAUAAUAUUUUGAACCGCAUGGUUCAAAAGUGAAAGACGGUCUUGCUGUCACUUAUAGAUGGAUCCGCGCUGCAUUAGCUAGUUGGUAAGGUAACGGCUUACCAAGGCAACGAUGCAUAGCCGACCUGAGAGGGUGAUCGGCCACACUGGAACUGAGACACGGUACAGACUCCUACGGGAGGCAGCAGUAGGGAAUCGUCCGCAAUGGGCGAAAGCCUGACGGAGCAACGCCGCGUGAGUGAUGAAGGUCUUCGGAUCGUAAAACUCUGUUAUUAGGGAAGAACAUAUGUGUAAGUAACUGUGCACAUCUUGACGGUACCUAAUCAGAAAGCCACGGCUAACUACGUG
This 497-nucleotide ribosomal RNA is filed under the name uncultured bacterium. Its description in RNAcentral is "partial 16S ribosomal RNA". It matches the Rfam family "Bacterial small subunit ribosomal RNA", at positions 28 to 507 of the family's 1533-position model. The record is from RNAcentral.